Mustela erminea (ermine) is the source of this 1344-nucleotide long non-coding RNA. RefSeq lists it as uncharacterized. The transcript has 4 exons. Lineage: Eukaryota; Metazoa; Chordata; Mammalia; Carnivora; Mustelidae. The record is from RefSeq and is a predicted model, not a curated record.
GAAAAGGGAAAUAGACUGAAAUCACCAUACCAUCAAGGAGGGUUUAUGGAGUACCCUAUAUCUAUGAAUAGACCAAAAGCAGACCUCUACAGGAUGUCUGGGUGCAGCCUAGGGUGGGCCUUGGAAAACCAGCUCAACCCAGGAUCUCUUGAUUCUGCCCACUGGGAACUGCAGUGACAGCACCUGGCCUGGCUGGAGGAAGCAGUAACAGUAGGGAGCUUUAACAAGUUUGAAAAAAGUUCAACUUACUGCUGCUAUUAAAUGAAGACACAGGCAUAGUGGUUUCUUAUCCUGGCCAUACAGGAGACUCUGUUUGGGAGCACAGUUGACUGGACCAUGGAUUAGCACCUGCAUCAGAGAAGGGCAGCAACUGUCCCAACCAGUGAUCUGUGGGUGACGUGGCAUGAUGUGAGAACCUCAGGAAACAGAAUGUUCUGCAUCAGAGAGAGGAGACUGGACCUGGAAGAUCUCCUUAAAGGAUUCAAAGGUGAGACACACAAAUGGUAAACAACUCAGAAGCACAGAGACUCACAAAAUGAAAGCAAUUAGUAGACCCCAUAGGGUUGCCAAGACCACCACAUGCAAAAGCCAUUGAAAGAACGCAAAGUCACAGAGCAGUAGCAGGAGCAGUAGCUUUUAUGGAAGCUGAAAUAGAAAGUAGUGGAGCCAUUAGGAAAUUAAAGGAAAUUAAAACUUGACAUUUCUGAAGACUACAUGUGGGCUGGGUUGCUACGGUAAAGGUGUUGAGAUUUAUUUUCUUGUUAUUCUUCAAUUCAUACAGCAAAUGAACUUCAGCUAUAUUAAACUGGGCUUCUCACUCUUCCUCCAAUUUCAAAAAAUCUAGUACAGUUGAGAAAAUAUAAUAAAUUUAUAAGAUCACAGAAUUUCAGCUUUGCAAGAGAAUUUAGAGAUGUCUUACCAAAAUGUUUUUCUGUUGAUUUUUACCAUGAAGAAUUUCAAUGCAAGAGAGGAUAAAUAUCAAAAUCCUUGCUGUGCUCUACCAGCUGAUCAUACACUGUGAUCAUUACUUUGUAGGGCUACAAAUAUAUCUUCAGUAGUUGUUUCCUCUGGUCCCGGUACAAAAUAGGACCUCAAUAAAUGCUUUUUGAAUAGUGAGGCAGUGAAGUCUUAUGGCAUUUGAGUUUAGGUUUGCUUGCAGGAUUGGUUAGUUCUAAACAGUUAAAAUAAAGGGUAUGGUUAAAAAAAAAAAAAAAGAAGUAAGUUGUGUUUAACUCCCAGUAAUCUAUUUUGUUAACACUUUUUCUUCUGCACACCACACAUAACACUCUCAUACUCGUGUUCAAAUAAAGGAGUUAUUAGUCCUGUAAGCUGGUAAAGAGGUUU